GGGGCAGUAGUUCAGUUGGGAGAACAUCCCGUUCGCAACGGGAAGGUCACGGGUUCAAAUCCCGUCUGCUCCA
This 73-nucleotide transfer RNA is filed under the name Elusimicrobiota bacterium. Its description in RNAcentral is "Elusimicrobia bacterium (hot springs metagenome) tRNA-Ala". It matches the Rfam family "tRNA". Rfam says of the family: Transfer RNA (tRNA) molecules are approximately 80 nucleotides in length. Their secondary structure includes four short double-helical elements and three loops (D, anti-codon, and T loops). Further hydrogen bonds mediate the characteristic L-shaped molecular structure. tRNAs have two regions of fundamental functional importance: the anti-codon, which is responsible for specific mRNA codon recognition, and the 3' end, to which the tRNAs corresponding amino acid is attached (by aminoacyl-tRNA synthetases). tRNAs cope with the degeneracy of the genetic code in two manners: having more than one tRNA (with a specific anti-codon) for a particular amino acid; and 'wobble' base-pairing, i.e. permitting non-standard base-pairing at the 3rd anti-codon position. The record is from RNAcentral. Lineage: Bacteria; Pseudomonadati; Elusimicrobiota.